RNAcentral lists this ribosomal RNA (247 nucleotides) under uncultured bacterium. Its description in RNAcentral is "partial 16S ribosomal RNA". It matches the Rfam family "Bacterial small subunit ribosomal RNA", at positions 523 to 769 of the family's 1533-position model. The record is from RNAcentral.
AUACGGAGGAUCCAAGCGUUGUCCGGAAUCAUUGGGUUUAAAGGGUCCGUAGGCGGUCUUAUAAGUCAGUGGUGAAAGCCCAUCGCUCAACGAUGGAACUGCCAUUGAUACUGUAAGACUUGAAUGCUUAGGAAGUAACUAGAAUAUGUAGUGUAGCGGUGAAAUGCUUAGAUAUUACAUGGAAUACCAAUUGCGAAGGCAGGUUACUACUAAGUGAUUGACGCUGAUGGACGAAAGCGUGGGGAGC